CCUACGGGUGGCAGCAGUGAGGAAUAUUGGUCAAUGGACGAGAGUCUGAACCAGCCAAGUAGCGUGAAGGAUGACUGCCCUAUGGGUUGUAAACUUCUUUUAUAUGGGAAUAAAAUGUUCCACGUGUGGGAUUUUGUAUGUACCAUAUGAAUAAGGAUCGGCUAACUCCGUGCCAGCAGCCGCGGUAAUACGGAGGAUCCGAGCGUUAUCCGGAUUUAUUGGGUUUAAAGGGAGCGUAGGUGGAUUGUUAAGUUAGUUGUGAAAGUUUGCGGCUCAACCGUAAAAUUGCAGUUGAAACUGGCAGUCUUGAGUAAGGUAGAGGUGAGCGGAAUUCGUGGUGUAGCGGUGAAAUGCUUAGAUAUAACGAAGAACACCGAUUGCGAAGGCAGUUCACUGGACUGCAACUGACACUGAGGCUCGAAAGUGUGGGUAUCAAACAGGAUUAGAUACCCUAGUAGUC
RNAcentral lists this ribosomal RNA (460 nucleotides) under uncultured bacterium. RNAcentral describes it as "partial 16S ribosomal RNA". It matches the Rfam family "Bacterial small subunit ribosomal RNA", at positions 338 to 795 of the family's 1533-position model. The record is from RNAcentral.